This 382-nucleotide ribosomal RNA is filed under the name uncultured bacterium. RNAcentral's name for it is "bacterial SSU rRNA". It matches the Rfam family "Bacterial small subunit ribosomal RNA", at positions 28 to 402 of the family's 1533-position model. The record is from RNAcentral.
GACGAACGCUGGCGGCGUGCUUAACACAUGCAAGUGGAGCGACGAACCAGGCUUCGGCCUGGGGCAGAGCCGCGAACGGGUGAGUAACACGUGGGUAACCUGCCCUGAUGAUUGGGACAACCCGAGGAAACUCGGGCUAAUACCAAAUGUGCCCUCCGGCCGUAAGGCCUCGUGGGGAAAGGAAGCUUCGGCCUCCGCAUCGGGAUGGGCCCGCGGCCCAUUAGCUUGUUGGUGAGGUAACGGCCACCAAGGCUACGAUGGGUAGCUGGUCUGAGAGGACGAUCAGCCACACUGGGACUGAGACACGGCCCAGGACUCCUACGGGAGGCAGCAGUGGGGAAUCUUGCGCAAUGCGCGAAAGCGUGACGCAGCAACGCCGCGU